UGCCCACAGCUGGGGCCCCCAUCCGACACGGGCUUGGCUCCCUGCACAGCGUGGAUGAGAUUCUCCAGUGGCUGGUGGAGAGCGGGCACAUGCAUGUGUUCAGGAUCAGCCACACGCAAGGAAGCACAAUGCUGCCUGCAUGUACAAGGGCCAUGCUCUCCGGCUGCCUCCAGCCAAAGGGCAGCAAGUUGGAAAAAUGCUCUCCUUACAGCUGGAUUUUGGUCAGGAGUCGUGUCAUGAGUUCCUCGAGAGCACAGCCCUCGGUCUGGAGAGGGUGGGUCCCAGGGGUCACUGGAGGGCGGGGGGAAGGCUCUGGUCUGCAAGGUGGCCUCUCAGACUCCAGCAACAAUUCUGCCUCCUCCAGUGGCUUCCUUGGGAUGACCAGGUCACCUCCCUGAGCCUCGGGCUUCUCAUCCUGGAAGGUGCUGGAAACGUGCCCCUGGACCCUGGUGGGCCGUUCUGAGGUUACACAAGACCCUGUUGGAAAGCGGGUUGCAAGCGGACCCUUGUGCAAAUCGCCGUUGAAGCCGUGCUUGUGUCAGCGAGAAGGACGAGCUGGUGUGACUUCCGGACAAAGUCACUGUCUGCACCCCCUCAUCAAAUGUUCUGUCCCCAGCUCACCCCACGGGUGGCUGCUCGCUCAUCGCAGGCCGCACCUGGGUCACAGCUUGGCAGUGGAAAUAUGCCUUUUCCACCAUGUGGUGGCGGUCCAGUCGGAUGGCCGCAGUCCAGACCUGUCCCCUACAUGUGAAUUCCUCAGGGUCCCAAGUCACCCAGAGCUUGAGCGUGUCCUUGCAGUGCCGUGACCCUCCAGUGCUUUUCUUCACUUCAUUAUGAAAACACAGAGGAGGAGGCAGAGGGCCCGAGUGCCCAGCCUCGACCAAGGACACGCAGUGACCCGGGAUCGGCCUCCAGACCUGCCCGCUCCCACCCGCCUCACGUGCCGCCAGCUCUGGAGUUUCUGUUUGGCCCACGGACCCUGCAUCCGUCUCCUGCCUCCAGAGCCUCCUGCCCUUUCCCUGCCUCGUGCUGCAGAGUGCAACCCCGCCUGCUCCCAGAGCACCGCGUAAAAUGUGUGCGCGCGUGAAAGUGUUUGAAAACCGCACAGAGCAGCACCACACGCGGGCGCGUUCCGGAAUCGGGGCAUGCUCGCCUCCUGCCGCACAUGAGCUCCUCCGUCCCCGUGAGAGACAGGUGGCCCCUCGAAGCCCCAAGCUGCCCUGUGGGAUGUGGCCCAGGUUGCCCACACGGCACCCGUUCCUUCUGCUCUCUCCUCCCUGCGUGUCCAGAGGGCUCAUCAGAAAAUGGAGGGAUGGGGGCAGAGGGGCCGAUGCAUAAAAAGAUCAGAGGGCGUCGUUGCACCCGCCGUCUGGACAUUACAUCCCUGGGGCCAGCGUUCGAGGCCAGAGGCCUGAAAGUGUGAAAGCAGCUUCAGAAGCUUGGCUGCAGAGAGGAGAAGGGGGCCAGUGGGGUGGGGACCACCGUGGGGAGCCACUGGGUGGCAGUGGGUCUGUCCAGACCCAGGCUGGAACCCUUGACCUCCCCUGCUCUCUUGGCUGACUUCCAGUGGGGGUUUCAGCCUGUCUUCUGCUCCCAGGGGUCUGG
This is a long non-coding RNA of Equus caballus (horse), 1605 nucleotides long. Lineage: Eukaryota; Metazoa; Chordata; Mammalia; Perissodactyla; Equidae. The record is from Ensembl.